GGGGUGGGGUUCAUCCCACCCAGACCACAGAGACUGAAAAUAAGAAAGGGGUGAGGCCUAAGGGACAAUCAGGAUGUUUUUCAGAGAGAAGUGUGGAUGCUGGACAGGAAGAACCACAGAUACCAGAUACGGAAAAGGAAGAAUCAACACUUUCAGAGAUGGAGCCUGUUGAGCCACAGUACCAACUAGUCAAUGCUGAAUCGACUUCUCCCUUUCUACAUUGCCUGAGAGAAGUCAUUGGGGAAUACUCUAGAGUCAAGGGAUUGGAUUGUGGAUUGCAUUGGUGGUUUUCCUCAGUUUCCUCAUCUUCUCCACAAGUUUCUACAUAUCGAAUGCAGAGCAGCCCUUCUUCAAAGGACCUCCUACGGAAGCUGCUAAGGAACUCAGUCUGUAGCUCUGCGUGGAGCCAUGUGUAAACACUGAACUGAGACCUGCCACCUCCUACUACCUAAGGGCCCAUUUUCAUCUGAUAUCAUCCCCCAGAAACAAACUCAUGAUGACUUCCAUGUUUUUUUUAGAUUAGAUACAUGGAGAAUUUUCCUUUCCCUUAGAAUUAAAAUCCUGCAUUCUAAUUUUCAGUAAGCUUUUUUAUUUCUGAAUAAUUUUAAAUUUAAAGAGAAGUUGCAAAGAUAGUAUAGAAUGUUCCCUUAUACCUGUUUUUAUUUAGAGUGAUGUUCCCAGGAGAAAUGAUAAUGCAGCAAUGGACAAGAACAGGAACAAGAGACAGUCUUACCAUCUUCUUACAAUUUAUAGAUGGGACAGUGGAAAGAGAAGCCACAUCGGGGUUGGGCAUGCAGAGACCUGGUCCUAAAUCUGUGUGACUUUUGCGAAAUCCUUUUGCCUCACAGAGCUCUAGGUUCUUAUCUGUCAAACAGGAACCAGACCAUCAGAUCCGUAGAGAUCCAACCAAUGAAGGAGACUUCGAAAACUUCACAUUGCCGUGUCAAUGUGAGGUUGCUGGAUGGUUAUGACAAGAAAUCACAUUAAAUUCACUGGGGUAACAUUGUUCAUGAAACGGGAUAAUGUGUUUCAGCGAUGAACCACCCAUGGCCUUACUACAGACAUAUUUCCACUUUGAAAAUGUGUGUGAGUGUACAUGUCUGUGUGUGAGGCAGAGAUUAGAAAGUGUAAAUGUGUGCGUUUUCAUUUUACACAUCUUACAUUUUCCUUUAAUUUGUUUGAAAGCCUGUUUUGUUUGUGGCUUCCAUUCCUGGAAGUCCCAUGAGUUGUUAGUGGUGAAGAUGGAACAGAUGUGUCCAACCCGGGGGACUCCUGCCCUCAGGGACUGAGCAGCUGCAAACCUCUCUCUCAUCUGAUUCCACUGUUUCUUCCACAUGUACACAUCAUGAGAAAUAUUGUUCAAUCAAUAUCUUCCCUUAAAUCAACUCAUAUGCUUAUUUACAUGAAUUUACCUAAAACAGAAACUUGAUAUCACUUCUGUAAAUGAAAAAAUUAAACUUUCUGGCUUUAAAUAAAGCAUAACAAUAAUAAUCAUGUCAAAA
RNAcentral lists this long non-coding RNA (1502 nucleotides) under Homo sapiens (human). RNAcentral's name for it is "long intergenic non-protein coding RNA 943". The record is from RNAcentral. Lineage: Eukaryota; Metazoa; Chordata; Mammalia; Primates; Hominidae.